AGUCUGGUGCCAGCAGCCGCGGUAAUUCCAGCUCCAGUAGCGUAUAUUAAAGUUGCUGCAGUUAAAAAGCUCGUAGUUGGAUUUCUGAUUAUAUGAACCUGAUCCGCCCCGUUUAGGUGUGUGAGUAUUGGUGUUUGUUAAUCAUCCUUGAAGUACAUGUAUCUACCCUUUAUUGGGCCGGGUAUUUUGAACUUCAUCAUUUACUUUGAAAAAAUUAGAGUGUUCAAAGCAGGCAUUUUCGCUGUGAAUACAUUAGCAUGGAAUAAUAAGAUAGGACUUUGGUGCUAUUUUGUUGGUUUUCAGUACUGAAGUAAUGAUUGAUAGGAUAAGUUGGGGGUGCUAGUAUUCAAUGGCCAGAGGUGAAAUUCUUGGAUUCAUUGAAGACUAACUGAUGCGAAAGCGUUCGCCAAGUCUUUUUCCUUUAAUCAAGAACGAAAGUAGAGGGAUCGAAGAUGAUCAGAUACCGUCGUAGUCUCUACCAUAAACUAUGCCGACUAGGGAUAAGUGCUCGUCUUUUAUAGACAGCAUUUGCACCUUAGGAGAAAUCAAAGUGUUUGGGUUCUGGGGGGAGUAUGGUCGCAAGGCUGGAACUUAAAGGAAUUGACGGAAGGGCACCACCAGGCGUGGAACUUGCGGCUUAAUUUGACACAACACGGGAAAACUUACCAGGUCCAGACAUAAUAAGGAUUGACAGAUUGAAGAUCUUUCUUGAUUUUAUGGUUGGUGGUGCAUGGCCGUUCUUAGUUGGUGGAGUGAUUUGUCUGGUUAAUUCCGUUAACGAACGAGACCUCGACUUACUAAAUAGUUUGCAUCACGCUUCGGCGUGGUGACAGACUUCUUAGAAGGACUAUUGGCGCGUAGCCAGUGGAAGUUCGAGGCAAUAACAGGUCUGUGAUGCCCUUAGAUGUUCUGGGCUGCACGCGUGUUACACUGAUACAUUCAACAAGUUUACCACCUCGACUGAGAAGUCCGGGUAAUCUUUGAAAUUGUAUCGUGCUGGGGAUAGAUGAUUGCAAUUAUUCAUCUUCAACGAGGAAUGCCUAGUAAACGCAAGUCAUCAACUUGCAUUGAAUACGUUACUGCCCUUUGUACACACCGCCCGUCGCUACUACCGAUUGAAUGGUUUAGUGAGUAACACGGAUUAGUGAUUGUGUUUCAUUUCGGUGAGACCAAUCAUUGAGAAGUGGC
This 1188-nucleotide ribosomal RNA is filed under the name metagenome. RNAcentral describes it as "bacterial SSU rRNA". It matches the Rfam family "Eukaryotic small subunit ribosomal RNA", at positions 558 to 1758 of the family's 1831-position model. The record is from RNAcentral.